CAUUGCCAUGUUUCUUAGGUAGAUCAGGCAGUUGGAAGAAGUGUUCUCUCCUGAGGCCUCUCCCAGUCCUUAGGAUGGGAUGCUAAAAAAGUUUUACGCUCCCUUUAGUAAGGUUGCCCCCUAGAGCUGAUGGCCAAAGGUUCAGAUGGUCAGGAGAUCAGGCCGUGGUCUGCCCCUCCCUUUUUACGGGGUUUGUGGGUGGGUGCAGAAACUGCAGCCUCCCUAACUAGCUCUGCCCUGCAGGUGAGUAUUAGGGGUAUGUCAAGCUUUGGCUGUAUGGCAGACUUUGGCUACAACUUAGCUCACUGGUAUUAUCACAGCACAAUGAGCAGGCAUUUGUUCAGUAUGAUGUAGUGGGUAUUUAAUUCCCAUAGAGUCAACUCCGUGAGGUAGUGUUGAGUUCCACUUCGAAAGGGAAUGUCUCAGGUUACGGCUGUAACCAUGGUUCCCCGAGAAGGGGAAGAAGACACUGCAUUGCGUUGACAUACUUCUGGCAUGCCUUGCGUCUUCCUUCAGGUAAUUGAAGUUUCUAGGCACCCUUAUAUACCCUGCCGGCACACCUGUGACGUUACCUUACUGUGGUAGCCAAUCAAGAUUGACAUGUAGCACACGUGCUUCAGACACCAGCUUUAAUGCUGAAUAUAAGUAAUAUUUUCUUUAGAACAUCUCACUUUCCCCCAACUUUUGAAUGGAAGUGUAUCACGAUUUUCACAAAAAUAUUAAGCAGCACAACUGUUUUCAACAUUGAUAAUAAUUAGAAAAGUUUCUUAACUCCAAAUCAGCAUAUUAGAAUGAUUUAUAAAGAAUCAUGUGACAUUAAAAACUGGAGUAAUGGCUUCUGAAAAUUCAGCUUUGCCAUCAGAUAGAGAUUCUUCCCUUCCAACAAGAUCCAUAUUUUGGGUCCAUUUUACUGUAAAAGAAAGACUGUAUAUUUUAAAAAUACAUCUGUUUGGGGUUUUUUUUCUACUUUUGUCAGUGUGACACUGCAGAUUUCCUCCACAGACAUGCGCUAAAGCUCACAAAAGUCCAAUUUUCGAUUUCAUGGUUUUGUAGCCUUAGCUAACAGAGAAAUGUAAUUUAUAUCCUGCGUUUGCAUGCUUGUAUGUGUUAUUGUCCUUGUUCUGUCCUGUAUACAAGCACAUAACCAUCGCAGGCGCUGAUGAAAUGCUAUUGCUGUCCCCAGGGGCACUGAAUGCCUGAAGUGAGCUGUCACUGUCACGUUACAUUAACGCCCUGUGUGACUCUGAUCUCAGAGGCAGCACCUCAUCAUACGACUGUCUUUUUCCUCAGUGUCCUUUCAGUUAUUCUUCACACACACACCAGUCACAGGCUUGCACAAAACCAUUAUCUGUAAUUCUAAUGCAUUUUUAGAAGCUAAUGGAGAUUACAGCACAAGAGAGCUUCUUCGUGGCAGAUCAUGGGAGCUCUUCUUUCCCUUUCCUACAUUUGACAUAGCUGUUUUGAUAAUGGCACAUCGAAUUUGCUGUUAUCUCGCAUAUUAAAAUGAAUAAUGAAGCAAAGUUACAGUUGCAGCUGAAGCUAGAGAUGUAGACAAAACAUCUGCCUGUAUCACCUUGAAAUUCAUGACAUUUAUGCCUGUUAGAGAGUUUCUCCGUAAUCCUGAGCUGUGAGCUGCGGCUCAUAGCAUAACAUAAUCAUUCUAUUGGGAUAAAACUAGCAUUCAUGAAACCUUACUUACAAGCAGCACAAAUGUAAUAUUAAUGCAUGCAAUAAAGUAGGGUUUAAUCAUUACACACAAUAGGGGAUGGCGUUUUAUUUACCGGUAUUUAAUGGCUUGUCAGUGAAGUGAAGUUUGAACCUUACUGCACAGGAUAGAGUUAUCCAGCCCUAUUUAAGUAGCUUACAGAGAGUCAGCUCUGUCUGUCUGAUCCUCUCGCUGCAUUAGUGAGUUGCUCUGGCCUCAUCCUGACACUCAGCUGGGAUCUCUAACGUGCUUGGAUUAUAAAUAGGCUAAACUGUGUUUAUGCCUGUGUGUUUUCAGCACUAAACAUGAGAGCCAUCAUCAACCUCUUUUUUAUGCAGCUAAUGAACUUAGCGUGAUGCAUAUUUGUCAGUCACACAUAGAAGAAACAGGUAAGAAACAGGUAUGAUAUCUGCGCUUAAUUUGUUUUAUUUAUCUUUACUAUUAGCAAAAUCUUUUAUGUAUGACUGACAAAUAUGCAUCACAUUAAGUUUAUUAGUUUGUUUGUUAAAACUAUGUAAUCCAAAUGGAUGUAAAUUUUAUAUGCAAUUCAAAUUCAAAAAUCUCAAAUGUAUGCCUAAAUAUUUUUUAGAGUGUUACACAGGUAAUUAGACAAUGCAACCAAAGAAAACAUUUUGUGGCUGCACACAUACAUUGACCGAUAAUAAUUUUAGACAGACGGAUCCAGUUCCAAUUUACUGUAUUUUUGUGCUAGUUUUCAAAAUGACCUACCUCUUUCCACACUCCUAAAAUACAAUUUAUUCAUCCUACCUGUUUUUAUGUAGCAAACUUUCACAAGUAAAUAUUGCUUAAAAUACUUUUACCUGUGCACCACCACAAAAAAAAAUAAAAAAAAUAAAUAAAUAAAAAUAAUAAUAAUUAAUAAAAAAAAAAAAUAAUAAUUACAAACCCGAUUCCAAAAAAGUUGGGACACUGUACAAAUUGUGACUAAAAAAGGAAUGCAAUGAUGUGGAAGUUUCAAAUUUCAAUAUUUUAUUCAGAAUACAACAUAGAUGACAUAUCAAAUGAUGACGUAUCAUUUUAAGGGAAAAAUAAGUUGAUUUUAAAUUUCAUGGCAUCAACACAUCUCAAAAAAGUUGGGACAAGGCCAUGUUUACCACUGUGUGGCAUCCCCUCUUCUUUAUAACAGUCUGCAAACGUCUGGGGACUGAGGAGACAAGUUGCUCAAGUUUAGGAAUAGGAAUGUUGUCCCAUUCUUGUCUAAAACAGGCUUCUAGUUGCUCAGCUGUCUUCUUUGUCGCAUCUUCCUCUUUAUAAUGCGCCAAAUGUUUUCUAUGGGUGAAAGAUCUGGACUGCAGGCUGGCCAUUUCAGUACCCGGAUCCUUCUUCUACGCAGCCAUGAUGUUGUAAUUGAUUCAGUAUGUGGUCUGGCAUUGUCAUGUUGGAAAAUGCAAGGUCUUCCCUGAAAGGGAAGGGGAGCAUAUGUUGUUCUAGAACUUGGAUAUACCUUUCAGCAUUGAUGGUGCCUUUCCAGAUGUGUAAGCUGCCCAUGCCACACGCACUCAUGCAACCCCAUUGUAACGGGUUAUAUUACUUAUAAUUUAGUUCUUCACUUUUAUGGACCAAUUAGGAAAAUCAGAAGAUUCGUAUGAUCGACUACGGAGGUAGAGGGUAAUUGCUGAAGGAACGACAGGAGACCACAAUUAAGUGUCCGAAUAGGUUGGCUCGCCAUCAAAGAAAAUCAAUCUCCCCUCAGGAAAAAAACCUGACCUGUUUAAAAGGUCAGAAAUGCAUGACUGCAUUUAGUCAACAAUAGCAUCACAUCAGGUAAGUAUCUCCACAUACCAAUAAAUUAACAUAUAAAGUAAUAAUUUCAAUGUUUUACAAUAUUACAUUGAAAUAAACAUACAUCUCUUUUCAGGCACGUGUAUAUUACCCCGACAUGCACGUGAA
Long non-coding RNA from Ctenopharyngodon idella (grass carp), 3616 nucleotides. RefSeq lists it as uncharacterized. The record is from RefSeq and is a predicted model, not a curated record. Lineage: Eukaryota; Metazoa; Chordata; Actinopteri; Cypriniformes; Xenocyprididae. The transcript is spliced from 2 exons.